RNAcentral lists this unclassified non-coding RNA (252 nucleotides) under Hevea brasiliensis (rubber tree). The record is from RNAcentral. Lineage: Eukaryota; Viridiplantae; Streptophyta; Magnoliopsida; Malpighiales; Euphorbiaceae.
GGCGACCAACACGCAUCCAGUCUCCGCCAUGGGAAUAGGGUGUGCCCAUUUUGAACCAAGCCGGUGGGACGGAUCACAGGAGACUGGAUCCAGGGUAUGAGAGUCAGAAUCUAGCAAUGGCACCUGCCCUCGAGCCACUAGAUUGGCUCUGAAAUCUCUCCAGUCUAAUAGUGAGUUGCGGGACCUGUGGGUCAAGUCGUCCAACUUUGAUUUGUCAUGGUCUGGAUUGAUUCCCUCAGAGCCAUCUCCAUC